AGAGUUUGAUCCUGGCUCAGGACGAACGCUGGCGGCGUGCUUAACACAUGCAAGUCAGGGGGCCCGCAAGGGUCACCGGCGAACGGGUGCGUAACACGUGAACAACCUGCCCGAGCGAGGGGGAUAGCCGGCCCAACGGCCGGGUAAUACCGCAUAUGCUCACAGUGCCUUAUGGCGCAGUGAGGAAACCUUCGGGGCGCUCGGAGGGGUUCGCGACCUAUCAGCUAGUUGGUGGGGUAACGGCCUACCAAGGCGACGACGGGUAGCUGGUCUGAGAGGAUGGCCAGCCACAUUGGGACUGCGACACGGCCCAGACUCCUACGGGAGGCAGCAGUGGGGAAUAUUGCGCAAUGGUCGAAAGACUGACGCAGCGACGCCGCGUGGAGGAUGACGCCCUUCGGGUUGUAAACCUCUUUCAGCAGGGACGAAGCUAACGUGACGGUACCUGCAGAAGAAGCGCCGGCUAACUACGUGCCAGCAGCCGCGGUAAUACGUAGGGCGCAAGCGUUGUCCGGAAUUAUUGGGCGUAAAGAGCUCGUAGGCGGUUUGUUGCGUCCGUCGUGAAAGCCCACAGCUUAACUGUGGGUCUGCGGUGGAUACGGGCAGACUAGAGGCAGGUAGGGGAGAACGGAAUUCCCGGGUGUAGCGGUGAAUGCGUAGA
Molecule: ribosomal RNA, 661 nt
Filed under: uncultured bacterium
Lineage: Bacteria
Description: bacterial SSU rRNA
Rfam family: Bacterial small subunit ribosomal RNA
Source: RNAcentral